RNAcentral lists this ribosomal RNA (224 nucleotides) under uncultured bacterium. RNAcentral's name for it is "partial 16S ribosomal RNA". It matches the Rfam family "Bacterial small subunit ribosomal RNA", at positions 524 to 747 of the family's 1533-position model. The record is from RNAcentral.
UACGUAGGGUGCAAGCGUUGUCCGGAAUUAUUGGGCGUAAAGAGCUCGUAGGCGGUUUGUUGCGUCGGCUGUGAAAUCCCGAGGCUCAACCUCGGGUCUGCAGUCGAUACGAGCAAACUAGAGUGUUGCAGGGGAGACUGGAAUUCCUGGUGUAGCGGUGAAAUGCGCAGAUAUCAGGAGGAACACCGGUGGCGAAGGCGGGUCUCUGGGCAACAACUGACGCU